This 296-nucleotide long non-coding RNA is filed under the name Physcomitrium patens. Its description in RNAcentral is "long non-coding RNA (PPAT_LNC002441)". Lineage: Eukaryota; Viridiplantae; Streptophyta; Bryopsida; Funariales; Funariaceae. The record is from RNAcentral.
AUUAAAAUUCUAAUGGACUUCAAUCAAAUCCUAAGCCAAAUCUUAAACUCUAAGCAAAACUUAAAUUCUAAGUAAAUCCUAAAUAAAUCAUAAAUUCUAAAUCAAAUCCUAAAUCAAACACUAGAAAAAUCCUAAAUCUUAAAUCAAAUCCUAAAUAAAUCUUAAAUCCUAAAUCAAAUCCAAGAUAAUUCUUAAAUCCUAAAAUAAAUCUUAAAUAAAUUCUAAAUCUUAAAUAAAAUCCUAAAAAUAUCCUAAAUCCUAAACCAAAUCCUGGACAAAUCCUAAACCUUAAAUCA